GGUGUUGGAAGGGGCCGAGCUUCCCACAAAACAGGGCUAUGUGCGAGGAGAAAGUGCACCAGUGCGGGGACAGCCAGCCUAGGGGGCACUUCCGAGCAGGCAGAGAGAUUCCAAGGGCUGGGAAGCGAGAGACAAAGAGAAGGGAGGACAUGAGCGAAGGCGAAGGGGGAGAGCAGGGGAUCAGCUGAGUCAAAUCCCGCAAGGAAAGCCCUUCCCCUCCGGCGCAUCCCUAAGAAGCGCAGGGACAGGUUCCCCCCACAACCUCACCCUUGGGGCAAGAAGACAAAGAACGGAGUGGCCCCAUGGGGAAAGGGGGAGAGCAAGGGGGGGAUUCGGGGGACCCGGCGGCGCAGAUCCGCUUCUACACCUGGGAGGAGAUCCAGAAGCACAACCUGAGGACGGACAAGUGGCUGGUGAUAGAUCGAAAGGUUUAUAAUAUCACCAAGUGGGCAAACAGACACCCGGGGGGUCAGCGAGUGAUCAGCCACUGCGCCGGCGAAGAUGCCACGGAUGCAUUUCAGGCUUUCCAUAUCAAUCCCACCUUGGUGCAAAAGUUUCUCAAGCCAUUGCUUAUUGGAGAACUUGCUCCAGGGGAGCCCAGCCAGGACCGAGGUAAAAAUUCUCAGCUGGUGGAGGAUUUCCGGACCCUGAGGAAGACUGCAGAGGACAUGAACUUGUUCAGAGCAAGUCCUUUGUUCUUCUCUCUUUACUUGGGCCACAUAAUUGCAAUGGAAGUGUUGGCCUGGCUGAUGGUUUCAUACUUUGGUACUGGCUGGAUCACAACCCUCAUCCUGGCCUGCAUCCUUACGACUUCCCAGGCCCAGGCAGGGUGGCUGCAACAUGAUUUUGGACACCUGUCUGUCUUUAAAAAAUCUUCCUGGAACCACAUUGUCCACAAGUUUGUCAUUGGACACCUGAAGGGUGCCUCUGCAAACUGGUGGAACCACCGUCACUUCCAACACCACGCCAAGCCCAACAUAUUCAAGAAGGACCCAGAUGUGAACAUGCUGCAUGUUUUUGUCCUUGGAGAUACACAGCCUGUUGAGUACGGCAAGAAGAAGCUGAAGUACCUGCCUUACAACCACCAGCACGAGUACUUCUUCUUCAUCUUCCCACCUCUGCUCAUCCCUGUGUAUUUCCAAAUCCAAAUCAUCUCGACCAUGAUCAGGCACAGGUUCUGGGCGGACCUCGCCUGGGCCAUCAGCUACUAUCUGCGCUACUUCAUCACAUACAUCCCAUUCUACGGCCUCCUGGGAUCCCUGUGUCUCCUCACGUUUGUCAGGUUUCUGGAGAGUCACUGGUUCGUGUGGGUCACCCAGAUGAAUCACAUUCCAAUGGAAAUCGAUUCCGAGAAGCACAGAGACUGGCUGAGCUCUCAGAUGGCAGCCACCUGCAACAUUGAGCAGUCCUUCUUCAACGACUGGUUCACCGGGCACCUGAAUUUCCAAAUCGAGCACCACCUGUUUCCAACAAUGCCACGGCACAAUUUCUGGAAGGUGAAGCCUUUGGUGAAGUCAUUAUGUGCCAAGUAUGGAGUCCAAUAUGAGGAGAAGCCUCUUGGGAAAGCAUUUGUAGACAUUGUUGGGUCCCUGAAGAAAUCUGGUGACCUCUGGCUGGAUGCUUAUCUCCAUAAGUGAACAUGAGUCUUACUGGGGAGGUGCACAUCCAGAGUCACUGGAGUGCUCAGGGAAUCUGCUUCCUCUUGGAGUACCUUCUGCCAUACAAACCCCCUAGCAGGUGGCAUGGAGAUGCCAACUAAGGAAGAGCUGGUGAUUGUGGAAAGUCCUUUUUGCACUUCACAUGGUGAAUUUAGGGAAAUUACUUUUAUAGCAUGGAUAGGUUUCUUUAUCAGCCUUCACACAGCUCAGGAACAAUGGUGCUGCUUUCCCUCAUCCUGGGAAUAAGCACCAAAGGAAAGGAGUCCUUCCUGUCAAAGAUUUGCCUGGCCAUCCAAACUCAGCCUCCAGACUGUUCGGGGAGGCAACCGAGAACCAAAUUGUUGUGAAAACUUCAUAGAAGCAUUUUACAGUUUUCUAAAAGUCAAUUUUCUGCCCAUUCAUGGCUCAUCCAGGGCUAUGGUGAGCAGCUUUUCUAAUUCACAGCUUGGAUCCAGUGCUUUGGUCAGCCUGAGGUCAACACCAUCAGUGGGUUUUACGUCAAACACCAUUUGAGGACAAGGCCAUCAGUGGACUUGAGGUCAGCCCAGAGGCUUUAGGAGAACUGGGAGACUGUUGGUUUUUCCAAAUAACCCCAUUUAGACUUCAGUCAUCAGCUGGAGCAGCAUGAGAGCCUGAGGCUGUGAGUGGGAAGCACAGAGGCUGCCCCAGUCACGAGACUAAAUGAUGGUUGGGGAAGGCCAGACUGGGCUUAUCUGCCACCUUAAAUCAAUACUACAGCUUUACCAGAGUACACAGGAAUUGCUCCAUAGGUAAACCAGAGAGCAGGUCCUGUGAGCAGUCAAACCAGAAAAUGACCCUACUUGCCCCAUUUUUGGGACUUUUAUUUAAUCCUAGAAUAAACAUGUUCCCCUAAUACAAACACAGGGAGCUGUUACACAAAAAUAAACUGUUACAAAUCAAUAAAGACUUGGCUUUCUUCCCUGGGAGUACAGCUGUUCCCAGGAUGGCUGAGCAUCCCAGGACAACAUGGCUUCAACCUCCAAGCAUUCCAAAGGAAGAUGGCUCAAAUGGGACCAAGGACCUGGAAGUUCUGGGAUCACAUUCUGGAUUAAGAUGCCUACACUAAAACACUCUCUGCUUUUCCACAGGGCUUGUAUCUCUGCUGGGAAUCUUCAGGUAUUAGCUGAAAUGCGGAAAGACAGACAGUUUUCCAAGUUUUAUCUUCCACGAGUUUAGACUUAGCCUAUCCAAAGGUCAGCCCAUUGUUCAGCUGAGAAUUGGGAAGCCAUUCUGCCCCUGUGAACCCAGUACACCUGGCUGGGUGAUUUUUGUACUUAAUUUAUCUGGUUUUAAGCUGUGAAAGACUAAAACUUCCACAGGUUACUUGAAAUUAAACCUUUUCACCUCCCUCCUUUGAAAUUAGCACAGGGAUAGUCAGAAAUCUAAAGCAGGAAAUCAACAUAAAAUGCACCUAAGUUGGACUUGAUGAUCUUGAAGGUCAUUAACAAUACUGCUUAAAAAAAAUGUUUUACUAACUCUGCAGUGGCCCAAUUCCAGAUGUCUCAGGAAACUGUUUCACAACAUACCUUGGCAUCAGCAUGGUAAGAAACACGUUUAUGGUGCUCAGACAUGCAGUUUUUACCCAGAUGGUGCAAGGAGGUACCUUGUUACACAGAAUCCAAAAAUGGUUUGGGUUGGAAAGGAGCUUUAAUGUCCAUCUCAUUCCACUCCCUGUCAUAGGCAAGGACACCUUCCACUAGACCGGGUUUCUCCAGCUUGACCUUGGACACUUGCAGGGAUGGGGCAGCCACAUCCAUGAGCUCCCUUUUUGCAACAGGUUUUUCAAAUUCUGUUCAAAUGACAAGUUGAGCCUCAUUCAGCAUUUGUGCUGGGUUACAGCAUAUUAUCAUAUAUUUUAUUGGGCAGCUUGAAAAAUUAGUCUGAAUUCCUCAAAUAUCAUAUAGAAACACUUCCACACCGGGUCCUGCUUACACCAUCCCUCUGUCCUGGUUGGCUGCAGAUUCUACAGAACAGGGUAUAGGUGAAGGCAAAUAUUCCAUUCACCUUUCCACACAGACUCAUUAUCCAUUUGAAAACUAUGUUAUAAAUAUGAUGAAGGGAAUAAUCCAGGAUUCUAGAAUUCAAAAGCAAGCCAGGAGAUGAAUUUUGCCCCCAUGGCAACCCUUAUGUAAAAUAUAAAUAAAAGUGUUAUCUAACCCCCCCAGAGGUUGGUGGGUGCAAAUUUCCACUGGGGUAAGUGAUGAUGUUUUCUUAAAUAUCCUGUAUCAGAGCUCUUCCACCCACAACUGAGGUUUGAAGGUCAAGCUCAGGCUACUCAGGUCAAGGGAAGCUCAGCAGAAAUCCAAGAAAGGGGUGGGAGAAGGUCAAGGAGAAGAAUCCUCCCCUGGAAGCGCCACCUUCGCCUGCAGCACCCUUCUGAGCACAGUUAGGUAACCACACAACUACAUUCAGGUGCUGGAUGUGUGAAUGACAAUGAGAGGAUUAAUCACCUUAAUUGCCUGUGAUUGCACCCAUCCUCCUUCAAAUGGGUGUGUCUGGUUCAUUUGCCUGAUUAAUUUCAUUGGCCUUAAUUAUCUUGGCCUCAGAUCUGUUUCAUUAUGCAGCAAAUGGUUUUAUAUAAAACACAGGAACCAAACUGCUCUUCCUCCGUGUAUUUUAUUCCCUUGUUGCUUACAAGGUGCCUGAUAAAACCUAAAAACUUGGGUCCUGAGCUGCAGAAGAUGCUGCUGGUUUCUGGCUGGAGCCAGAUGCUCCUGCCUGGCCCAAUGAGCAUCUGCAGGUAAAUCAUUCUGAGCUGAAAUUACCACCCUUUGCAAGUCUAUAAAACCUUCAGGCCACACUCAUAAUCCCAGAUGGACCAAAGCAGCACAACCUGUGCUUCACCAUCACCCAGGGGAGGGGCAAAGAAAUAAAGUGUGAACCUAAAUCAAAGUGCUGCUGCCAAUUCCAAUUCCAUCCCGUGCUCAUUCUUGUCUCCUCAUCAUGCUGGAGCUCACCAAAUGCUAAAAUUAAGCACCUGAUUUGGUGAAAGUAUGCAACUGAAAUGCAAUCCAACAGCACUAGAGGGCAAGGCAUCACGAAUCCAGUGUUCCAGCAGCAUUCCAGCAUCAUGACUCCUUUCACAUCCUGCAAAAAGUCAACAACUCAAUAAUAACAAAGUGUCUGGGCUUGAAUGUUGCAGCAGGAGAUUCUGGGCAAGUCAGGGACUGGAUAAGCUUUAAAAGUCUCUUCCAACUCAAACCACUCCACGACUGUGAUAAAUUCUGUCUGCAUAACUGAAAAUAAAAUAAAAUAAAUAAAAA
RNA transcript from Manacus vitellinus (golden-collared manakin), 4942 nucleotides. It is a transcript of the gene named fatty acid desaturase 2, with no coding region annotated. The record is from RefSeq and is a predicted model, not a curated record. Lineage: Eukaryota; Metazoa; Chordata; Aves; Passeriformes; Pipridae. The transcript is spliced from 14 exons.